Molecule: ribosomal RNA, 896 nt
Filed under: uncultured archaeon
Lineage: Archaea
Description: bacterial SSU rRNA
Rfam family: Archaeal small subunit ribosomal RNA
Source: RNAcentral
CCCGACUGCUAUUUGGGUGAGAAUAAGCCAUGCGAGUUGAAUGGGAUACCUAAAUUUCCCAUAGCAAACUGCUCAGUAACACAUGAUCAACUUACCCUAUGGAGAAAAAUAACCUCGGGAAACUGAGGAUAAUGUUUCAUAGUUGAAUAGGCUUGGAAAAGUUUUUCAAUGAAAUGAAUAAGAUGAAUGGUUCUUAUUUGCCAUAGGAUAGGAUCGUGCUCGAUUAUGGUUGUUGGUGAGGUAACGGCUCACCAAGCCGAUAAUCGAUAGGGGCCGUGAGAGCGGGAGCCCCGAGAUGGGUACUGAGACAACGACCCAGACCUUACGAGGUGCAGCAGGCGCGAGACCUCCGCAAUACACGAAAGUGUGACGGGGUUACCCAAAGUGUCCAUUAAUGGACUGUGGUAGGUGAGUAAUGUCCCCUACUAGAAAGGAGAGGGCAAGGCUGGUGCCAGCCGCCGCGGUAAAACCAGCUCUUCAAGUGGUCGGGAUGAUUAUUGGGCUUAAAGUGUCCGUAGCCGGUUUAGUAAGUUCCUGGUAAAAUCGAGUAGCUUAACUAUUUGUAUGCUAGGAAUACUGUUAUACUAGAGGGUGGGAGAGGUCUGAGGUACUACAGGGGUAGGGGUGAAAUCCAUUGAUCCUUGUAGGACCACCAGUGGCGAAGGCGUCAGACUGGAACAUGCCUGACGGUGAGGGACGAAAGCCAGGGGAGCGAACCGGAUUAGAUACCCGGGUAGUCCUGGCCGUAAACGAUGCAUACUAGGUGAUGGUACGGCCAUGAGCCGUAUCAGUGCCGUAGGGAAACCGUUAAGUGUGCCGCCUGGGAAGUACGGUCGCAAGGCUAAAACUUAAAGGAAUUGGCGGGGGAGCACCACAAGGGGUGAAGCCUGCGGUUU